Molecule: non-coding RNA, 114 nt
Organism: Acanthosepion pharaonis
Lineage: Eukaryota; Metazoa; Mollusca; Cephalopoda; Sepiida; Sepiidae
Source: the annotation of a GenBank genome assembly
UUACGGCCAUAUCAUGUUAAAACAUCAGUUCCCGUACGAUCAUCGAAGUUAAGCAACGUUGAAUUUGGUCAGUAGCGAGAUAGGUGACCGUUUGGGAAUACCAGGUGCUGUAAG